RNAcentral lists this ribosomal RNA (271 nucleotides) under uncultured prokaryote. RNAcentral's name for it is "partial 16S ribosomal RNA". It matches the Rfam family "Bacterial small subunit ribosomal RNA", at positions 525 to 777 of the family's 1533-position model. The record is from RNAcentral.
ACGGAGGGUGCGAGCGUUGUCCGGAAUCACUGGGCGUAAAGGGCGCGUAGGUGGCCUGUGUAAGGCCGUGAUGAAAGUCCGGGGCUCAACCCCGGAUCUGCCGCGGCGACUGCAUGGCUAGGGCACCGUAGAGGCAGAUGGAAUUCCGGGUGUAGCGGUGGAAUGCGUAGAGAUCCGGAAGAACACCGGUGGCGAAGGCGGUCUGCUGGGCGGUGGGGCGCAAGCCCCAAUAGCCGACACUGAGGCGCGACAGCGUGGGGAGCAAACAGGA